GCAGUGCGCCACUCCACGAACAUGGCGGCUGUACAUUCAAAAAGGAGGAAUUUUUUCCCGUAGGCUCGCGGUGCGGCAGUGUGGAGACCUGUCGUAAUGCGCACCGUUCUAUACGGACGUGCGUGAGGCUGUUUCGGCGGAGGCCGGGCGGUCAGAGUCGGCAACAU
This 167-nucleotide non-coding RNA is filed under the name bovine gut metagenome. RNAcentral's name for it is "malK-I RNA". It matches the Rfam family "malK-I RNA". The record is from RNAcentral.